UGUCAGAUGCUCAUGACCUAUACUGUCAUGUUUCAGACACUAAAACAAUAAUAAUGGCUUAAAGGCAGGAAAAAUGGGACAGUUUAGGAAUAUGAAUUUUACACAUAUACUUUAGAUGUGAGGGUUUUUAGGCAUAACAGCAGUGGUGUAUUCUAAUCUGACUACAGCUUGGGAACUGCAGUGCUAUCAGACAAGUCUGCUGCAGAGGGCCUGGCUGUCCUCCCCUGUCCUCAGUGUUUGCAUGGAACUCGAGCCCCAUCUACUGCACCAUCGGAGGGGCGCAGCAGCUGUUGCCAUGGAGACACCGUGGAUCCGAGCAGUGCGGUUUUCAGACAUGAAGUGCUGCAGAGCUCAGAAAUUAGGAGCUGACAGGAGGAUAAAAGGGCAGUGUCUUAUCUAUGUAGACAGGAGGUAUUGACUGGAUGUCUGCGGUCAACUGCUGAAAAAAAAGAAUCCGAUAAGGGUUAAGGGACAAAGUGAAACAAAUGUGAUUGAAAUCUGAAGGGUGAUCCUUGACACUUUGUAAUUGUUUAAAACUCAGAAAUGAAGGAACACAAAGAUGGCAAAGGACAUUUUUCACACAGGACCUUACUAUGUUCAAUAGAAUAAUUGGUAUUUAUUGGGUUCAUGCGCUAGUGAGCAGCAUGUCUGAAUGACUGCCUUGUGAUUUAUUUUGUAGACAACGCUUAAUGAAUGAAUGAGGUGCUUAAAAAAUGGUAUUGCAUUUGUA
Molecule: long non-coding RNA, 730 nt
Filed under: Lepisosteus oculatus (spotted gar)
Lineage: Eukaryota; Metazoa; Chordata; Actinopteri; Semionotiformes; Lepisosteidae
Description: lncRNA (ENSLOCG00000021981.1)
Source: RNAcentral